This is a microRNA precursor of Lepisosteus oculatus (spotted gar), 85 nucleotides long. It matches the Rfam family "mir-142 microRNA precursor family". NCBI's taxonomy places the organism in Eukaryota, Metazoa, Chordata, Actinopteri, Semionotiformes, Lepisosteidae. The record is from Rfam.
CAGUGCAGUCAUCCAUAAAGUAGAAAGCACUACUAAACUCCUCGGCACAGUGUAGUGUUUCCUACUUUAUGGAUGAGUGUACUGU